GACGAACGCUGGCGGCGUGCCUAAUACAUGCAAGUCGAACGCAGUGGGGACGGGUGAGUAACACGUGGGUAACCUCCCAUCAGAGGGGAUAACACUUGGAAACAGGUGCUAAACCGAUACUGAUGGAUGGACCCGCGGUGCAUUAGCUAGUUGGUGAGGUAACGGCUCACCAAGGCCACGUGGCAUAGCCGCCCGGACAGGGGGAUCGCCCACACUGUGACUGCGACACGGCCCAGACUCCGACGUGAGGCAGCAUUAGGGAAUCUUUGACAAUGGACGAAAGGCUACCCAAGUUACGCCGCUUGAGUGAAGAAGGUUUUCGGAUCGUAAAUCUCUGUUGUUAGAGAAGCGGUAUCUAACCAGAACGCCACGGCUAACUACGUGCCAGCCGCCGCGGUAAUAC
RNAcentral lists this ribosomal RNA (403 nucleotides) under uncultured bacterium. RNAcentral's name for it is "partial 16S ribosomal RNA". It matches the Rfam family "Bacterial small subunit ribosomal RNA", at positions 28 to 526 of the family's 1533-position model. The record is from RNAcentral.